RNAcentral lists this ribosomal RNA (253 nucleotides) under uncultured bacterium. RNAcentral's name for it is "partial 16S ribosomal RNA". It matches the Rfam family "Bacterial small subunit ribosomal RNA", at positions 524 to 776 of the family's 1533-position model. The record is from RNAcentral.
UACGUAGGGUGCAAGCGUUGUCCGGAAUUAUUGGGCGUAAAGAGCUCGUAGGCGGCUUGUCGCGUCGGCUGUGAAAACCUGGGGCUCAACCCCGGGCCUGCAGCCGAUACGGGCAAGCUAGAGUUCGGUAGGGGAGACUGGAAUUCCUGGUGUAGCGGUGAAAUGCGCAGAUAUCAGGAGGAACACCGGUGGCGAAGGCGGAUCUCUGGGCCUUACCUGACGCUCAGGUGCGAAAGCUAGGGGAGCGAACAGG